Molecule: transfer RNA, 65 nt
Filed under: Entemnotrochus rumphii
Lineage: Eukaryota; Metazoa; Mollusca; Gastropoda; Pleurotomariida; Pleurotomariidae
Description: tRNA-Glu
Source: RNAcentral
AUUCAUGAAGUGUACUUAAGCACGUUAAAUUUUCGUUUUAAAAGGUUUCUAUAGAAACAUGAAUA